Molecule: ribosomal RNA, 482 nt
Filed under: uncultured bacterium
Lineage: Bacteria
Description: partial 16S ribosomal RNA
Rfam family: Bacterial small subunit ribosomal RNA
Source: RNAcentral
AUCGAACGCUGGCGGCAUGCUUUACACAUGCAAGUCGAACGGUAACAGGCCGCAAGGUGCUGACGAGUGGCGAACGGGUGAGUAAUGCAUCGGAACGUGCCCAGUCGUGGGGGAUAACUACUCGAAAGAGUAGCUAAUACCGCAUACGAUCUAUGGAUGAAAGCGGGGGACCGUAAGGCCUCGCGCGAUUGGAGCGGCCGAUGUCAGAUUAGGUAGUUGGUGGGGUAAAGGCUCACCAAGCCAACGAUCUGUAGCUGGUCUGAGAGGACGACCAGCCACACUGGGACUGAGACACGGCCCAGACUCCUACGGGAGGCAGCAGUGGGGAAUCUUGGACAAUGGGCGCAAGCCUGAUCCAGCAAUGCCGCGUGCAGGAAGAAGGCCUUCGGGUUGUAAACUGCUUUUGUACGGAACGAAACGGCUCUGGUUAAUACCCGGGGCUAAUGACGGUACCGUAAGAAUAAGCACCGGCUAACUACGUG